GCUCUCGUGGUGAAGUGGAUCUCACGCGUCCCUCCGGAGGAUGAGUCGCAGGUUCGAUUCCUGCCGAGAGCGCCA
This 75-nucleotide transfer RNA is filed under the name Psychrosphaera saromensis. Its description in RNAcentral is "tRNA-Arg". It matches the Rfam family "tRNA". Rfam says of the family: Transfer RNA (tRNA) molecules are approximately 80 nucleotides in length. Lineage: Bacteria; Pseudomonadati; Pseudomonadota; Gammaproteobacteria; Alteromonadales; Pseudoalteromonadaceae. The record is from RNAcentral. RNAcentral also lists the same sequence under 2 other names.